RNAcentral lists this ribosomal RNA (497 nucleotides) under uncultured bacterium. Its description in RNAcentral is "partial 16S ribosomal RNA". It matches the Rfam family "Bacterial small subunit ribosomal RNA", at positions 28 to 507 of the family's 1533-position model. The record is from RNAcentral.
GAUGAACGCUGGCGGCGUGCCUAAUACAUGCAAGUCGAGCGAACAGAUGAUGAGCUUGCUCCUCUGACGUUAGCGGCGGACGGGUGAGUAACACGUGGCUAACCUCCCUAUAAUACUGGGAUAACUUCGGGAAACCGGAGCCAAUACCGGAUAAUAUAUUGAACCGCAUGGUUCAAUAGUGAAAGACGGUUUUGCUGUCAUUUAUAGAUGGAUCCGCGCCGCAUUAGCUAGUUUGUAAGGUACCGCCUUACCAAGGCAACGAUGCGUAGCCGACCUGAGAGGGUGAUCGGCCACCCUGGAACUGAGACACGGUCCAGACUCCUACGGGAGGCAGCAGAAGGGAAUCGUCCGCAACGGGCGAAAGCCUGACGGAGCAACGCCGCGUGAGUGAUGAAGGUCUUCGGAUCGUAAAACUCUGUUAUUAGGGAAGAACAAAUGUGUAAGUAACUAUGCACGUCUUGACGGUACCUAAUCAGAAAGCCACGGCUAACUACGUG